This 525-nucleotide ribosomal RNA is filed under the name uncultured bacterium. Its description in RNAcentral is "bacterial SSU rRNA". It matches the Rfam family "Bacterial small subunit ribosomal RNA", at positions 1 to 526 of the family's 1533-position model. The record is from RNAcentral.
UUAGAGUUUGAUCAUGGCUCAGAGUGAACGCUGGCGGCAGGCCUAACACAUGCAAGUCGAGCGGCAGCGCGGGGGCAACCCUGGCGGCGAGCGGCGGACGGGUGAGGAAUGCAUCGGAAUCUACCUUGUUGUGGGGGAUAACGUAGGGAAACUUACGCUAAUACCGCAUACGACCUACGGGUGAAAGAGGGGGACCUUCGGGCCUCUCGCGAUAAGAUGAGCCGAUGCCGGAUUAGCUAGUUGGUGGGGUAAAGGCCCACCAAGGCGACGAUCCGUAGCUGGUCUGAGAGGAUGAUCAGCCACACUGGAACUGAGACACGGUCCAGACUCCUACGGGAGGCAGCAGUGGGGAAUAUUGGACAAUGGGCGCAAGCCUGAUCCAGCCAUGCCGCGUGUGUGAAGAAGGCCUUCGGGUUGUAAAGCACUUUUGUUGGGGAAGAAACCGACCGGAUUAAUACUUCGGUUGAAUGACGGUACCCAAAGAAUAAGCACCGGCUAACUCCGUGCCAGCAGCCGCGGUACGCC